Molecule: ribosomal RNA, 476 nt
Filed under: uncultured organism
Description: bacterial SSU rRNA
Rfam family: Bacterial small subunit ribosomal RNA
Source: RNAcentral
GAUGAACGCUAGCGGCAGGCCUAAUACAUGCAAGUCGUACGGGCUUCGAGCAAUCGGAGUUAGUGGCGUACGGGUGCGUAACGCGUACACAACGUACCUUUUACUGGGGGAUAGCGGUGGGAAACUGCCAGUAAUACCCCAUGGUAUCCUUGGAUGGCAUCAUUUGAGGAUUAAAGCUCCGGCGGUAAAAGAUCGGUGUGCGUCCGAUUAGCUAGUUGGUGGGGUAACGGCCCACCAAGGCUACGAUCGGUAGGGGGUGUGAGAGCAUGACCCCCCACACGGGUACUGAGACACGGACCCGACUCCUACGGGAGGCAGCAGUAAGGAAUAUUGGACAAUGGAGGGAACUCUGAUCCAGCCAUGCCGCGUGAAGGAAGAAGGCCCUACGGGUUGUAAACUUCUUUUGAGUGGGAACAAAAUACCCGAUUAAUCGGGAGCUGAGGGUACCACUAGAAUAAGCACCGGCUAACUCCGUG